CACGCCGUAAACGAUGGAUACUAGGUGUAGGGGGUAUCGACCCCCCCUGUGCCGGAGUUAACACAAUAAGUAUCCCACCUGGGGAGUACGACCGCAAGGUUGAAACUCAAAGGAAUUGACGGGGGCCCGCACAAGCAGUGGAGUAUGUGGUUUAAUUCGACGCAACGCGAAGAACCUUACCAGGAUUUGACAUCCUCUGACGGUCUUAGAGAUAAGGCUUCCCUUCGGGGCAGAGAGACAGGUGG
This 245-nucleotide ribosomal RNA is filed under the name uncultured Eubacteriales bacterium. Its description in RNAcentral is "uncultured Clostridiales bacterium partial 16S ribosomal RNA". It matches the Rfam family "Bacterial small subunit ribosomal RNA", at positions 796 to 1041 of the family's 1533-position model. Lineage: Bacteria; Bacillati; Bacillota; Clostridia; Eubacteriales. The record is from RNAcentral.